RNAcentral lists this transfer RNA (72 nucleotides) under Camelus bactrianus (Bactrian camel). It matches the Rfam family "tRNA". Rfam says of the family: Transfer RNA (tRNA) molecules are approximately 80 nucleotides in length. Their secondary structure includes four short double-helical elements and three loops (D, anti-codon, and T loops). Lineage: Eukaryota; Metazoa; Chordata; Mammalia; Artiodactyla; Camelidae. RNAcentral also lists the same sequence under 2 other names. The record is from Rfam by way of RNAcentral.
AUGGGUAGAGCUCAGUGGUAGAACACACACUUAGCAUGUGUGAGGUCCUGGGUUCAAUCCUCAGUACCUCUG